UGGGCUUUGGUACCCUCGGAGAUCCACAUUUGAUUUAAUUGGUUAUUCGGAUACCGAUUGGGCGGGGUGUAAAAUCAAUAGAAAGAGCACAUCGGGGACUUGCCAGUUCUUGGGAAGGUCCUUGGUGUCUUGGGCUUCAAAGAAGCAGAAUUCCGUAGCUCUUUCUACCGUCGAAGCCGAGUAUAUUGCCGCAGGACAUUGUUGCGCGCAACUACUUUGGAUGAGGCAAACCCUUAGGGACUAUGGUUACAAUUUAACCAAAGUUCCUCUUCUAUGUGAUAAUGAGAGUGCAAUCCGCAUGGCGGAUAAUCCCGUUGAGCAUAGCCGCACUAAACACAUAGCCAUUCGGUAUCAUUUUCUAAGGGAUCACCAACAAAAGGGAGAUAUCGAGAUUGCAUAUAUUAACACUAAAGAACAAUUAGCCGAUAUCUUUACCAAGCCACUAGAUGAACAAACUUUUAACAAACUUAGGCAUGAGCUAAAUAUUCUUGAUUCUAGGAAUUUCUUUUGAUGGUUUGCACACAUAGCUCAUUAAUAUACCUUUGAUCAUGUCUCUUUUAUAUGCUAUGACUAAUGUGUUUUCAAGUGAAUUUCAAACCAAGUCAUAGAUUGAAAGGGAUUUGGAGUCUUCGGCGAAGACAAAGGCUUCCACUCCACUUCAUCGAAAUGACUCAUUCUUCGCCGUCGCUCUGAGCAACUCUCCGUCUUUGGUAUAAACUUCACUCAUAUUUUUGUUUGCCAAAGGGGGAGAAAGUAAUAGUUAUAAGGGCUUAUAUUUCACUCUAGUAUCCGUUUUUGGCGAUUUAUGCCAAAGGGGGAGAAAGUAUUAGCCCAAAGCAAAAGGAUCGCACCACCACCGAUUUUUUAAAAAAAAUUGUGUUCAAAUGAUGAAGUUUUUCAACUUGGUAUCUUAUUUUUGAUUUGGAACACCCUCUUCAAAAACUAAUGUCUAAAACCCUCUUGAACACUAAGAGGAGGAUUUUAUUGAGGGGGAGUUUUGUUUAGUCAAAGGAAAAGCAUUUGAAACAGGGGGAGAAAAUGUUAAAUCUUGAAAAUGCUUCUCAAAAUCUUACUCAUUUACCUUUGAAUAUUUGCAAAAGGACUUUGAAAAGAAUUUACAAAAGGAUUUGCAAAAACAAAACAAGUGGUGUAAGCGUGGUCCAAAAUAUAAAGAAACAAUCCAUGCAUAUCCUAUAAGAAUUUAUAUUGGCUCAAUUCUAAGUAACCUUUGCACUUACAAUUAUGCAAAGUAGUUCAAUUAUGCACUUCUAUAUUUGCUUUGGUUUGUGUUGGCAUCAAUCACCAAAAAGGGGGAGAUUGAAAGGGAAUUAGGCUUACACCUUUUUCCUAAUUGAUUUUGGUGGUUGAAUUGCCCAACACAAAUAAUUGGACUAACUAGUUUGCUCUAGUCUAUAAGUUUUACAGGUGCCAAAUGUUCACAAUAAGCCAAUAAAAAGACCAAGAAUGGGUUCAAACAAAGAGAGCAAAAGACAACCCAAAGGCACCCUAGUCUGGCGCACCGGACUGUCCGGUGUGCCACCGGACAGUGUCCGGUGCACCAGGGCACUCGAAGCUGAACUUGCCACCUUCAGGAAAAUCAGAGGGCGCUCCGCUAUAAUUCACCGGACUGUCCAGUGAAGCACCGGACAGUGUCUGGUGCCACACCGGACUGUCCGUUGUGCCAGCGGAGCAACGGCUACUUCGCGCGCAACGGUCGACUGCAACGCAUUUAAUACGCGCCUGCGCGCGUAGAGGACAGAGCACGCGUGGUUGGCGCACCACAGUUUACAGGACCUGUCCGGUGCACCACCGGACAGCCCAGAGGCCCCACAAGUCAGAGCUCCAACGGUCGAACCCCAACGGCUCGCUGACGUGGCUGGCGCACCGGACUGUCCGGUGCGCCAUGCGACUGCAGCUUUCCAACGACCAUCUUUUGGUGGUUGGGGCUAUAAAUACCCCAACCACCCCACAUUCAAUGGCAUCCAAGUUUUCCACAUUCAACACAUUACAAGAGCUAUAGCAUUCAAUUCAAGACACUCCAAAGAGAUCAAAUCCUCUCCCAAGUCCAAAGACAACUCAAAUCAAUAGUGGCUACUGAGAGAGUGAUAUUUGUGUUCAUUUGAGCUCUUGCGCUUGGAUUGCUUCUUUCUUCUCAUUCUUCUUGUGAUCACACUCAAUUGUAAUCAAGGCAAGAGACACCAAUUGUGUGGUGGUCCUUGCGGGAACUUCGUGUUCCGAUUGAUUGAGAAGAGAAGCUCACUCGGUCUAAGUGACCGUUUGAGAGAGGGAAAGGGUUGAAAGAGACCCGGUCUUCGUGACCACCUCAACGGGGAGUAGGUUUGCAAGAACCGAACCUCGGUAAAACAAAUCACCGUGCCUCGCUCUUUAUUUGCUCACGAUUUGUUUUGCGCCCUCUCUCUUGGACUCGUUUAUAUUUCUAACGCUAACCCGGCUUGUAGUUGUGCUUAAGUUUAUAAAUUUCAGAUUCGCCCUAUUCACCCCCCCUCUAGGCGACUUUUAGUGGACUCAACCACCGGAUGUUCUGUGUUGUCUUUCUUGGAUUGCUACUCUGGGUAUCAUCAGAUUAGCUUGGCAAAAAAAGACAAGGAAAAAAUAACAUUCAUCACCCCGUUCGGAGCCUUCUGCUAUACCUCCAUGUCGUUCGGCCUCAAAAACGUUGGAGCGACUUAUCAGAGAGCUAUUCAGACAUGCUUAGCCGACCAUUGGGGCAAGCGUGUGGAUGAUGCGGUGAUCAAGACAGAGGAUUCAGAAAAUUUCAUUGAAGAUUUACAGCUGGUCUUCAACAAUCUACGGCGAUACCGAUGGAAGCUUAAUCCCGAAAAAUGUGUCUUCGGAGUACCGGCAGGAAAGUUGCUCGGGUUCAUUGUCAGCCAUCGGGGAAUUGAGGCCAAUCCAGAAAAGAUCGAGGCUAUCAUGAGAAUGGAAGCACCACGAUCACAGAAGAAAGUACAAAGACUUACCGGAUGUAUGGCAGCUCUAAGCAAAUUCAUAUCAAGGUUGUGAGAAAAAGGCUUACUGUUCUAUAAGUUGCUCAAGAAGGUAGACAAAUUCCAGUGGACUUCAGAAGCACAUGAAGCUCUAGAUGCGCUGAAAAAAUUCUUAACAACACCACCAGUACUAAAACCGCCGCGCCGAGCCACGCCGACUCAACCGGCUGAAGAUCUGCUAUUAUACAUCUCUUGCACGACUCACGUGGUGAGCACCGCAUUGGUAGUCGAGCGAGCAGAAGAAGGACAUGCAUACCCAGUACAACAUCCUGUCUAUUUCAUUAGUGAAGUUCUGGGUCCCUCGAAGAAGAAAUACCCUCAAGUUCAGAAGCUAUUAUAUGCAGUACUUCUAACUGCACGCAAGCUCUGUCACUACUUCGACGACCACAAAGUCAUAGUAGUCAUUGGAUUUCCGAUAGGGGAUAUUCUCCACAAUAAAGAAGCCAUCAGAAGAAUAGCCAAGUGGGCCUGUGAACUGGGAUCUCAUGACAUUGAAUUUCGACCUCGCACUGCCAUCAAAACUCAAGCACUGGUUGACUUCGUAUCAGAGUGGAUCGAGCAACAGGUGCCAGAUAACCCGAAAACCGCAGAAGUAUGGCGAAUGUAUUUUGAUGGCUCAUUAAAGCUGCAGGGAGCAGGCGCAGGGAUCCUCUUUAUUGCACCUGGAGGUGAACAACUCAAAUACGCUCUUCAAUUGUUAUUCCCAGCAUCCAACAAUGUAACAGAAUACGAAGCUCUGAUUCAUGGACUAAACAUUACCAUAUCACUGGGCAUCAAGAGACUGAUGGUAUAUGGAGAUUCGCUGGUGGUCAUAAGUCAGAUAAACAAAGAAUGAGAUUGCUCGAAUGAUUCCAUGGGAAAAUACUGCACUGCUGUCCGGAAACUAGAAGACAAAUUUGAAGGUCUAGAAUUUCAUCAUGUGGAGAGAGACCGCAACGCGGCAGCUGAUACAUUGUCCAAGUUAGGAUCCAGUCGGACUCAGGUCCCACCUAGAGUUUUCGUCCAAGAAGUACUGCACCCGAGCAUUUCACUGGAUCGGGUAGAGGAAUGCAAUAUUCUGAGCCAACCAGAGCCAGAUGAUUGGAGGGAGCGGAUCAUCAGGUAUAUAAAGAAUGAGGAGGAACCAGAUGACAAAAAUGCAGUCGAACGCAUUGCGAGGCAGUCAUCUCAUUACACUCUCAUUGGGGAAACGCUAUACAGAAGAGGCGCGUCAGGAGUCCUCAUGAAAUGCAUUCUCUCAGCUAGUGGAAAACAACUUCUGGAUGAGGUCCAUGCUGGGCAAUGCGGGGUACACGCAGCAUCCAGGACCCUGGUUGGGAAGGUCUUUAGGUCGGGUUUCUACUGGCCAACAGCAAAGAGUGAUGCAGCCGAGUUAGUCUAGAGGUGCGAAGCCUGCCGGUACUUAUCAAAACAGCAACAUCUACCUAUGGUCUACCCAACGAAAUCUUUUCAUGAGCGGUAGAGUAGACUGAGCACCCACACAAUCUCGAUUUGACAAUUUCAGAAAUGGAAGGAUUUACCAAUGAGACCGUCUACAGCAGAGAGGCUACCAGGACACGACCUUUCGCACAAUGGAAAUGGUACUACUGUGUCCCUAAGGGCCCCGUCUUCCUUUUUAGAGAGAACUGAAUCAGAACAUCUUUCUCUAUGAAAAUGGGAGAGUAAAAAGGGAACCGAAAACAUUGAUGUGAGAGCAAUGAUGAAUCGAGCCGCAUCACAUCAACUAGAGAACUUAACAUACGAGUUUUCUAUCAAAACUAUUACCCAUCAAUCUCUAUCCUCGGGGAUAGAAUCCAUCUCACGGCGUACCUGAUAACUACGCUUAUAUACGUCAAUUCAUGGGAAGAUGCUUACAGGAACUUCCAACUACUCACUUUGAGCAGGCAUGUUACGAAGCUGGCUGAACUAAGCCCAAGUUCGGUAAGGCGUAAAGUAAGUGCGAACCCGAAGCGUGGGUAGAGUUGGAAAGAAGCGUAAAGCUGUGUUAGUUCGAUCGCAACAUAGAAACCGCUUUCAUGGUUGCCUCCUAGUGGUUUCGCCAACGAGAACGCAGGCUUAAAAACUUUAUGCUUUCUUUUAUCCAACAACGAUUCAGUAUAAGAAUACCAAGCCAAGCGCAGACGAUCCGGGGAAUUUCCAACUAUUUCUUUCUUGAGAAGUGCGGAGAACACCCCGGAGUAGAUGAACUCAUUGCAGAUACAUUGCAACUUUAUAUGGGACCGAUCUACUUAACACACUACAACACUACACUAUCUAUAUAUAGGUAUAUCAUAAGCGGUAACCUUCCUCAAAUGUUUUAUUAUCCUUAGGUGAACUUUUCUCUAUCUAUAUGGGCGUAGGCAGUCAUAGUGGGCCUGUGAAAGUCAACAAUAUGGAUGGCAUAAUAGGCAAUGGUUGCGUACUAGAUUGGUGGUCUUAUACUUAAAAGCAGUUUGCUCUGAUUCAAAGCAGGCGAAGUAGUUUCAGUGGUCUCAUACUUGUGGUAACUCUCUUCAUUUGUUGGUGCUCGGUGGUUGGCAAAAGCGCCUUCUGAAGAGUCGUACCCACGACCCAUCACCCUUUGGAAUAGAUCCUCAGGCCCAUCGCACGGCGAACUACCUAAAGCUUAGAGAGUUUGCAAGGAAAGGAGAUAGACUGACUAUCAGCGACUAGCUACAGGAAAGAGAUUCGGGUUGUUAGGCAAAGUUGGGAGAGAAGUAAGAAAUCGGUGAUAGAAGUAGUGCUCGAGAUAUAAGGAUAGGUCACAGGAAUAGGAAUAUGGAUAGCUCUCUCUCUAGUUUGAAGAAGGAUAGCUGGCUGGGAGAGUAGAACUAGUUAAAGCGCUGGCUGGUCAGAAGAAAGAACUUACUGUUGUACUGUAGUAUGGUAAUAAAAAACAUUGUAAAGGAAAAACUUAUCUUGUUC
This 5912-nucleotide long non-coding RNA is filed under the name Zea mays. RNAcentral describes it as "long non-coding RNA (ZMAY_LNC001861)". The record is from RNAcentral. Lineage: Eukaryota; Viridiplantae; Streptophyta; Magnoliopsida; Poales; Poaceae.